GGUCUGUAGCUCAGUGGCAGAGCGCUUGCCUAAGCAUGUGUGAGUCACUGGGUUCGAUCCUCAGCACCA
This 69-nucleotide transfer RNA is filed under the name Marmota monax (woodchuck). RNAcentral's name for it is "tRNA.Undet". Lineage: Eukaryota; Metazoa; Chordata; Mammalia; Rodentia; Sciuridae. The record is from RNAcentral.